Non-coding RNA from Dermacentor andersoni, 2680 nucleotides. The record is from RefSeq and is a predicted model, not a curated record. NCBI's taxonomy places the organism in Eukaryota, Metazoa, Arthropoda, Arachnida, Ixodida, Ixodidae.
ACACAAGCAGCCCGAGCUGCGCUUCCAGACACGCCCGCCACAUGUUUUUCCCGCCAAAAACGCUCCUAGCCACAUCGCACGCAGUGAUUGGUUCUUCGUUACAGACGCGGCGCCGUCACGUGCAGCCGUUUAAUCCCUGCGAUUUGUCCCCGCCGCACGUCCUAGUUGCGUCAGCUUCGGUGUGCCGUUUGCAGUAUAGGCGCGUCUACGUUGCGCGGCAUACAGCUACUAGAUCACUUGCGCGCGCGUUCGUCAUGUCGCGACUGGAGCCCGUGAACGUGAAGCAAAGUGGAUCUCCUCGUGCCGACAGCGAAUGGGAUUUCACUGUGGGUCAUGGCUGACGUAAGUUCAAUGACACGAUUAGACGGAAGUGGGCUGGAGUCCUAGUAACAAAGCACUUUUGUUAAAAAAAAUGCUAGUCAAAUAUCUGUGUCAUCAGUCACAGUACAACCGGUCAGAAAUAAUGUGCGGCAUUUCUUUGCCUAAGCAAUAACAUGCGUUAUUGUGUUCCUGCUGUCAUGCAGUUGAGUUCCCGCUCGACGACACCGGAUCCAGUCCAUCGCAAGGUUGGUCUCCCUCCCAAGUACAAAACAAACAGGUGGAUGAACCUGUUCAAUCCCUGGUGCCGUCAAUAAGCGUAUACAAUGAGAACGUCCACUACCAUAUCUUCACAAACUGUACCAUAGAAGAGCGUCGCAGUCGGUCUCCCUACCGCGCUGCACGUGAUCGCAGCCCCAUCAACGAGCGUCGAGCAGGAAAUUCCAGGCGUCGGACUGAGUUUCAGAUUAUAGAAGAUUCAAGACGCUCGACAACCAGACGAGGAAAUAUGGAACAGCGCACGAGCAAACGUGAACACAUUGCUCGUCGCUGGGAGCAUGAUCGCUAUGACCCCGGUUAUGGACACGGUAGUCACCGGGGCACCCCCCGUCAUCGCCAGGAAGUGUUUCGCGAACGAAUUACUGGCUCAUGGAAUUCUCCUAGAAGGCAGUAUUAAACCGCCUACGGUGAUAUGCUGUUUAGAAUCGAGCAACGCGUUAGGUGGUGGUGGUGAGAAAGAAGACUUAUUCAGGAAAAUACAAGAGUUGACACCCGAAAGGGGGUGGGUACACCUAGGCGUGCUUCCUAGUUAUAAGUCUUCGUCCUAAUGACACGUUGCCUCUGCUACUGAAGCGAUCAGUUUAGACAGUGACGAAUUGAGUGAUGUUGCAGAUGUCAUAGUUUAAGCGAUGUUACGGCUCUCGAAGCCAGAUAAUUCUUUCGAUCUGCGUUGUGUCUUAGUGGAAUUGCUCCUCCACAAGGCGCCAAUGGUAAUACGAAUCGCUGCCUGGUGCACAGCUUUGCUUUCUUCGUUCGGAAGAUCUUUGCUGUCGCUACUAUAGGGAUUACUGAUAAAGAAAUGCUUAAGACACAAUUGGGAAAACAUCACUGCUCUACGUCAACAGCAGGUGCUAAUGCAAUAAUCUAGUAAUGAGGUUCAAUGUUCGAAUGCAACAUACGGUGCAUGAUAGACACCGUAGCGCUUGAGUGGACAGCUCUGGAUUAUUUCGACCUCCUGGGAUUCUUUAACGAGCAUGUAAAGCCGAGUACACUAGGCUUGAGCGUCUGGCCACAGUCAGAAUGAGACCACGGUGGCCGUGAAUUAUACCUGAAAUUUUGUGCUCAGCAUCUCAAUGUCGUCACUGCUGAACGAGCUCGGUGGAUUGGGUAAUAUGAGGUUGGAAUGAAUCGUUGUGUAGGAACGAUGCAGAACACGCGAAAAUCAUUCACCAGGCCCGGUGAAUGAGUUUCUUAUUGUGAUACGGCUCGCCAGUUUUGGUUUUGUGUAUAUUGGUAUUCGCAAUUCACAGUGAAUUGUCAUUGGUGCUUCGAGAAUGUGGUUCAGAUGUGACUAGUUUCAAUAAAUGUUUUUUUUCCUCAUCAAAUGUGUCAGUGUACUACUCGUGAGCAAAUGUAUACAGACCACGGGGGCACAUGCCAAACUAGAGUUACUGUUUUAUCGGUGAGUAGGAACGUAUAUCCUCGAACCUGCCACUGCUUCACAGCGCGAGCAGCCAGCGGACUCCGCACUCCACAAUGCCGGCACGCCUAGGGACAAACGCCUACAACACGCGCUAAGAAACCCUCUCCGUAGUGGCUAGGCAGUCAUAUAUUCAAGGAGCUAAAGACCCCAGAUUUUUGUCUCUUGCGCCUGCUCUUACUCGCGCCUGCACACAAACCGCUGGCGAUCCCUCAAAGGAACGUCUCGUUCCGUUUCAAAGUGGGUGCGGCAGAGCAGGCUGGUUCGCCCGUCCGCCGUACAUUGCAAGUUCUUCGGCUACUGCUCGUCUUGCUGCCUACUCUCGCGCCUUUUGAUGACUCGGCCAGAACGCCUUGCUUCUGAAUGCGACGUUAUACUAUCGGGAGCUCUACCCGCUGUGGUUGCUCAAUGGCUAUGGUGUUGGGUUGCUGAGCACGAGGUCACAGGAUCGAAAUGCGAAAACUCCCGUGUACUUAGAUUUAGGUGCACGUGGUCGAAAUUUCAGGAGUCCUCCACUACAGCGUUCCUCAUAAUCAGAAAGUGGUUUUGGUACGUAAAACCCCAUAAUUUAAUUUAACUUUUUUUUUUAUCUGAAGCUGCAAUACAUGCUGCCGACAUGAUGCUGCUACUUUCAUAGAAUAAAGUGUCGAUAAACUGUUGCAA